Small nucleolar RNA from Callorhinchus milii (elephant shark), 180 nucleotides. Lineage: Eukaryota; Metazoa; Chordata; Chondrichthyes; Chimaeriformes; Callorhinchidae. The record is from Ensembl.
GGCAGGCUGUGUGCAAGGUAUCUGUCCCUGUUUAGUGCUGUUUUCUGACUGUGUUUUGCAGCUGGUUUGCAGUGCUCACACAUACCCUGCUGACCACAGAGAAAAACGAGAUCAUAGUACUGGUCCAGUGACGUCGCAAGACAGUUUGCCACUGAUCAGCCUCCAAACUCUCAUACAACA